GCCCCGGUAGCUCAGUUUGGAUAGAGCACUUGCCUCCUAAGCAAGGGGUCGGGGGUUCAAAUCCUCCCCGGGGCG
This 75-nucleotide transfer RNA is filed under the name Candidatus Woesearchaeota archaeon. RNAcentral describes it as "tRNA-Arg". It matches the Rfam family "tRNA". Rfam says of the family: Transfer RNA (tRNA) molecules are approximately 80 nucleotides in length. Their secondary structure includes four short double-helical elements and three loops (D, anti-codon, and T loops). Lineage: Archaea; Nanobdellati; Candidatus Woesearchaeota. The record is from RNAcentral.